CCUCGAGUAUAUUGAGACAUUACCCUUUCCAGUGAUCAUAAACUGGCAAGUUAAUUGGCAGUGAUUCGGGAUUGAAAUUUGAAUUCGGGAAGAACGGAUAGAUCAAUAUCCCCAAAUAGAAAAACUCAGUAGCUUUAAUAUGCCAAAAGAGUUCAUUCAUUAUGAAUCCAACUACACGUAUUAUCCAUACAUUACAAAGAAUAAUAUGCUAAUGCUUCACAACCGAUCGGCUUCACUCCCAACUUAAAGUAACAAUGUAUUUAUGAGUUCACAUAUUUCAGGCAUCAAACUCAACUAGGUUUAACAAUUGAAACCUCAGAUACAAGCUUUAGUACUCCUACUUUUCCAUCUGGCCUGCACAAAAUUUAACCAGUCGGAUUCCAACUACAGAUAUGGAUGUUCUAGCCAUCAUUUCAGAAUGCCAAACUCCGUUAAACACUGGCUUUAACUAUGCACCUAAUGCCAGCUGUUGCUGUCCCCCGCCCCUCCAGGUUAUUCAGCAGCUCGGAGGUGUCGACUUAACAAAGCGGUUACCAUAACACUCGAAGUAUUCUGAGUGUUAAUUUAGCCUAGCUGUCACACUCCUUUUUUAACUCCCAAAAGAAUAUUGUUUUAGUUUUGAAAGAGUUUUUAUUAUUAAGUGACAAAAAAGAUGAAAAUUUGUUUCGAAAAGGACCUUUUAUAUUCAAAACUCAGAGUCGUCACUUGGCAUAAAUUGGGUGUGCCAAGUCACCCAUGGAUAUCUUUUUUAAAACGAUUUUACUCUUUGAAACUGGUUUGCGAAUAGAGAUUCCGGCUAAGGAAUUCUGUUGAUCGAGGGAAAGGUUUUAGGCACCCCUCGAUCCCGUGGUUCGACCACGGUCGUUUGGUGGAGCAUAUCGGCUAAUUUGAUAUUACAAAUGCAUAAACCACACAAAGAACGCAAAAAAAAAUCACUCAAGCAAACAAAACAAAACAAUCCAAAAUAUAAUGUCCAGUCCAAUUAUUACAAACCCAAAAUAAAAGGUACCGAAAUAAACCUAUGCUAAUCCUAAACUACCUUCAGCACUUUACCCGAUGCCUCAGGUCUUAAUCACGAACGUCUUUCGCCAACAUAAUAUGUCAGGGCAUUCCACGGUGAAUAAAUACAAAUGGCCUCGGGGCAUUCCCCGGCUAAAUGAAUACAGUCGAUCCAAAUGCAGUAAACAAAACCUUUCAACACAUAAUCCAAACAUUCCACAAUCCACAAGUUCUAAAUUUGUCUAUAUAACCUACUGUUUGCUUACCUAGCUCGACCAAUCGUGACACUAUUACAAUCAACGACAUCAAUGAAUCAAAACGACAAUAUUCAUUUUUAUCAACUUUCAAUUCCCGCCCCACUUUUAUUCUCAAAUUAUCGAUUUUAAUUCUCAAACAAGAUAUCAUUUCAUCGCACAACACCUAAACAAUGAAUCAACACCAAGCAAUCAUUCACCAUCAACAAGGAUCAAACAACAUGCAAACGUUCAAACCAUAACACCGAAUAUCAUAAAGAGUGAAAUAAAAAGAGAGGGAAAAGAGAAUCAGACCUCAAUUAUCGAUUUCAACGUAGUGUUAUUCAAUUGAACGAGACAGAGUACAACCGAGAACCUCGAAUUGAAAUUCAAUCGUGACCCACCAACUCAAAUCCAAAUCGAAUGGAACUCCACCAACGAUAGUGAAUACCCGGGAUCAAUAGCUAAGCAGAUUUCAAACCCAAAAAUAAUGACCUCAAUAUGAAAACCAAAAUCCGAACCCAAAACGACGACUGAUGAAACUCAAAAUCCGGUUUCGAUCUUGAAUCACCAAAAUAGAUGAACCCGAAGCUUCAAAAAAUCUGAUAGAAAAUAAAGCCCAGUGUAGACCAAGCUCCGGUGAGCUCCAGCGACAGCAAAACAGCGGGUCAGGAUAAAUUCUGGCGCGUUUCAACAUUUUCAGGCAGGAUUUUCUUGGAAAAUCACUGGAAAUGAAAAAAUUAGAGGAUUUUGGAGCUGGGUACGUCGAAUAGACGAACUAGUCACUAAUUUCGACAAAAAUUUUGCCAGAAAUACUAGAAAAACGACCGAAUUUCUCCCUCCCCGAUCUCUCACUCUCGAUCUGCUCUUCUCCCUUAUAUUUCGAUUUCUUUUUCUCCCUGCUUCUCCGAUGGUGAGUGUUGCAUAUGUGCGUGAAUCUGUGGAGAAGAAGAUAGAUCCCUUUUUUGUCGUGUCUUUUUUCACCCAAAAGAAGAAAAGAAUGGUGUUUAUAUUGUCAAGAAGAGGAAAAUAGAAAUUGAUUGAAAAAAAAAUUGGAGUCCUCUGUGAUGGUGUAUGCGUAUGUUUUUUU
Molecule: long non-coding RNA, 2322 nt
Filed under: Capsicum annuum
Lineage: Eukaryota; Viridiplantae; Streptophyta; Magnoliopsida; Solanales; Solanaceae
Description: long non-coding RNA (CANN_LNC013739)
Source: RNAcentral